GCCAGGUGUGGUGGCGCAUGCCUGUAAUCCCAGCUACUGGGGAGGCUGAGGCAGGAGAAUUGCUUGAACCCUGGGGGCAGAGGUUGCAGUGAGCCGAGAUCGCACCACUGCACUCCAGCCUGGGUGACACAGCGAGAUUCUGUCUCAU
Molecule: non-coding RNA, 148 nt
Organism: Pan troglodytes (chimpanzee)
Lineage: Eukaryota; Metazoa; Chordata; Mammalia; Primates; Hominidae
Rfam family: Metazoan signal recognition particle RNA
About the family: The signal recognition particle (SRP) is a universally conserved ribonucleoprotein. It is involved in the co-translational targeting of proteins to membranes.
Source: Rfam